This 253-nucleotide ribosomal RNA is filed under the name uncultured bacterium. RNAcentral describes it as "partial 16S ribosomal RNA". It matches the Rfam family "Bacterial small subunit ribosomal RNA", at positions 524 to 776 of the family's 1533-position model. The record is from RNAcentral.
UACAGAGGUCCCAAGCGUUGUUCGGAUUCACUGGGCGUAAAGGGUGCGUAGGUGGUUGGGUAAGUCUGAUGUGAAAUCUCCGGGCUUAACUCGGAAAUGGCAUCGGAUACUAUCCAGCUUGAGGGUUGGAGGGGGGACUGGAAUUCUCGGUGUAGCAGUGAAAUGCGUAGAUAUCGAGAGGAACACCAAUGGCGAAGGCUAGUCCCUGGACAACACCUGACACUGAGGCACGAAAGCUAGGGGAGCAAACAGG